RNAcentral lists this microRNA precursor (61 nucleotides) under Eisenia fetida (common brandling worm). Its description in RNAcentral is "Efe-Mir-216-P1a_pre stem-loop". The record is from RNAcentral. Lineage: Eukaryota; Metazoa; Annelida; Clitellata; Crassiclitellata; Lumbricidae.
UAAUAUCAGCAGGUAAAUCUGAGCUAAACGACAGAAUCUCAGAGUGCCGCCUGGUAUUGUC